RNAcentral lists this ribosomal RNA (504 nucleotides) under uncultured Glomeraceae. RNAcentral's name for it is "SSU rRNA". It matches the Rfam family "Eukaryotic small subunit ribosomal RNA", at positions 569 to 1078 of the family's 1831-position model. The record is from RNAcentral. Lineage: Eukaryota; Fungi; Glomeromycota; Glomeromycetes; Glomerales; Glomeraceae.
AGCAGCCGCGGUAAUUCCAGCUCCAAUAGCGUAUAUUAAAGUUGUUGCAGUUAAAAGCUCGUAGUUGAAUUUCGAGACCGGUUUACUGGUCGUGCUUUUGUACGUACUGGUAUUAUUGGUUUCUCCUUUCUGACGAAUCAUAAUGCCAUUAAUUUGGUGUUUUGGGGAAUCAGGACUGUUACCUUGAAAAAUUAGAGUGUUUAAAGCAGGCUCACGCUUGAAUACAUUAGCAUGGAAUAACGAAAUAGGACGUUUGAUUUUAUUUUGUUGGUUUCUAGGAUCGACGUAAUGAUUAAUAGGGAUAGUUGGGGGCAUUAGUAUUCAAUUGUCAGAGGUGAAAUUCUUGGAUUUAUUGAAGACUAACUACUGCGAAAGCAUUUGCCAAGGANGUUUUCAUUAAUCAAGACGAAAGUUAGGGGAUCGAAGACGAUCAGAUACCGUCGUAGUCUUAACCAUAAACUAUGCCGACUAGGGAUCGGAUGAUGUUAAUUUUUUAAUGACUCA